RNAcentral lists this small nuclear RNA (68 nucleotides) under Salmo salar (Atlantic salmon). Its description in RNAcentral is "U5 spliceosomal RNA". It matches the Rfam family "U5 spliceosomal RNA", at positions 1 to 69 of the family's 117-position model. From Rfam's summary of the family: U5 RNA is a component of both types of known spliceosome. The precise function of this molecule is unknown, though it is known that the 5' loop is required for splice site selection and p220 binding, and that both the 3' stem-loop and the Sm site are important for Sm protein binding and cap methylation. The record is from Rfam by way of RNAcentral. Lineage: Eukaryota; Metazoa; Chordata; Actinopteri; Salmoniformes; Salmonidae.
CGACUCUGGUUUCUCUUCAUUACGCACAAGCCUUUCGCCUUUUAUAAAGACUUCCGUGGAGAGGAAAC